RNAcentral lists this ribosomal RNA (609 nucleotides) under uncultured archaeon. RNAcentral describes it as "bacterial SSU rRNA". It matches the Rfam family "Archaeal small subunit ribosomal RNA", at positions 133 to 742 of the family's 1478-position model. The record is from RNAcentral.
CGGGAAACUGAGGCCAAUACCGGAUACGGCUCCCUUGCUGGAACGCCGGGAAGUCAAAGGUCCGCCACCGGAGGACGUGACUGCGGCCGAUUAGGUAGACGGUGGGGUAACGGCCCACCGUGCCGAUAAUCGGUACGGGUUGUGAGAGCAAGAACCCGGAGACGGAAUCUGAGACAAGAUUCCGGGCCCUACGGGGCGCAGCAGGCGCGAAACCUUUACACUGCACGCCAGUGCGAUAAGGGGACCCCGAGUGCGAGGGCAUACAGUCCUCGCUUUUCGUGACCGUAAGGAGGUCACAGAAUAAGUGCUGGGCAAGACCGGUGCCAGCCGCCGCGGUAAUACCGGCAGCACGAGUGAUAGCCACUAUUAUUGGGCCUAAAGCGUCCGUAGCCGGCCGAACAGGUCCGUCGGGAAAUCCACCCGCUCAACGGGUGGGCGUCCGGCGGAAACCAGUCGGCUUGGGGCCGGAACACAGAGGGGUACGUCCGGGGUAGGAGUGAAAUCCUGUAAUCCCGGACGGACCACCGGUUGCGAAAGCGCCUCUGGAGGACGGGACCCGACGGUGAGGGAACGAAAGCUUGGGUCUCGAACCGGAUUAGAUACCCGGGU